Molecule: long non-coding RNA, 935 nt
Filed under: Pandoravirus celtis
Description: hypothetical ncRNA
Source: RNAcentral
UGCCUUUUUUUUCCUACCUGCACGACCAAGGCGGGAGACGGCAAUGGGACCGCAAAGCACCGGCCGACGAGCAAGUUGGAGGAGGGAGGCGAAAAACAGAUGGUACAUAUGACGGACUAAAAGACAGGCGCAGCCUCAAUGUCGGCCUCGAUCGACGUCAGUACCAAAACAAACCUGCCGCUGACAAAGUCGCCCGGUCGGGUGUCGGCGCCCGGUGCCUCGACGCGCGACCACGCGCCGCGGAUCGUCGCGCCACCGUCGGCAUCCAUCGUCAUCGCGCCACGAAAUGCAUAGCGUGCCGCAGCGUGGUUCUUUAGGGGCUCGCACUGGCCGAGCAGCGUCGUGUAGGUCUGCGUCCACGCCAGGGCCAUGCCACCGUUGUCGGCGCGCAUGCACGCCACGCCGCACGCCUCAAAGGCGCCCAGACUGUCGGCGCCGCUGGCAUCAAAAUGGGACGUGGUCGACGUAACGCCUUGCCAUCGGUCAAUGUGCCAUGCAGCAUGACACAUGACGGGGUCGGAUUGCGGUUGCCCGCGCCACACACGGCCACACACACGGUCGCCGCCCAGGAUGCUGGCAAUAUCGCGACGACCGGCAUCGCAGGCGCCAUACGUGUUUGCCGAGAGAACCAGUGCGGCGUCCUUGCCGCGGUCGUGCCAGGCCUGUGCGACCACGGCUGCUGCGGCCACGACGCUGGCAAAGCACACUGAUGUAAAAAGCCAAUUGACCAGGCGCUCGCAUUCGGCUGCAUUCUCGGGUGAUCGCAUGACAAGGGUGCCGACGACUGCGCCGACUAGUAUCAUCUGAAGCGUAAACACGACGGCAAUGCAUGCCAGCGUUGCCCUCGCAAGGCACGACGGCGUCCCGCUACUUGUUAGGAUGCCAUGCGUCGGCGCGGCGCCAAUUUCCUCCAUAGCAACGAUGGUCGUUAUUUG